RNAcentral lists this ribosomal RNA (253 nucleotides) under uncultured bacterium. RNAcentral's name for it is "partial 16S ribosomal RNA". It matches the Rfam family "Bacterial small subunit ribosomal RNA", at positions 524 to 776 of the family's 1533-position model. The record is from RNAcentral.
UACGAAGGGGGCUAGCGUUGCUCGGAAUCACUGGGCGUAAAGCGCACGUAGGCGGAUCCUUAAGUCAGAGGUGAAAUCCCAAGGCUCAACCUUGGAACGGCCUUUGAUACUGGGGAUCUCGAGUCCGGAAGAGGUUGGUGGAACUGCGAGUGUAGAGGUGAAAUUCGUAGAUAUUCGCAAGAACACCAGUGGCGAAGGCGGCCAACUGGUCCGGCACUGACGCUGAGGUGCGAAAGCGUGGGGAGCAAACAGG